RNAcentral lists this ribosomal RNA (415 nucleotides) under uncultured bacterium. Its description in RNAcentral is "bacterial SSU rRNA". It matches the Rfam family "Bacterial small subunit ribosomal RNA", at positions 138 to 556 of the family's 1533-position model. The record is from RNAcentral.
GGGGAAUAACUCCGGGAAACUGGAGCUAAUACCGCAUAAUCUUCCCUUGGCAUAAGCCAGGGGAAGCAAAACCUUCGGGUGCUUGAGGAGGGGUCCGCGUUCGAUCAGCUUGUUGGUGAGGUAACGGCUCACCAAGGCUGAGACCGAUAGCCGGUCUGAGAGGAUGGUCGGCCACACUGGAACUGAGACACGGUCCAGACUCCUACGGGAGGCAGCAGUGAGGAAUAUUGCGCAAUGGGGGAAACCCUGACGCAGCGACGCCGCGUGGAGGAUGAAGGCCCUCGGGUCGCAAACUCCUUUCGCCAGGGACGAAAGGCUCUUCGGAGUUUGACGGUACCUGGAUAAGAAGCCCCGGCUAACUACGUGCCAGCAGCCGCGGUAAUACGUAGGGGGCGAGCGUUGCUCGGAAUCACUG